AGAUUUAAUCUUAGGUGUCCAUUGGGCAUUAGGUUGGACUUUGGAUCCUCUUCUCUUCUCAGACAGACUUCUCGAAUCUUUGCCGCUCAGCUCUGCAUCUCCCUUGCCUUCGCAAGUUGCAACCUUCCUCCUCAUCCUAUUCCGUGUAGCGGCCCUCUCUGUGAACUUCAGCUCUGCAUCUCCGUUCAAGUUCAGUCAAAUAGACCUACAACACGUUAUCAGCACGCUUUUGCCAUAUGCUAAGGAAAUGAAGGAUCGUAGGAGGAGAUUCUAAGAACAAAGUAUGCAAUAAGAUGCAUUUUGGAGGCCUUUGGAGCAGUUUCGGGUUUGGAUGGAUAGCAAAUGUAGGGAGCGAGGUGGAUGGACGAAAAUUGAAGACUAAAGAGGCUAAGAAUGUGAAGAAUUAUUGUACAAAGGAUAAAGAACUCAUCCACAAUAGGGUGUCACUCCAAAAUUCACCAUUCUUGCCGUGCAAUUCACAUUGUAUUCCCUUUGGAUUCCCAUGCCAUGCUUAAUCACCCUUGUCCCCUACAUUAUUUCUGAUUUCAUGCCUCAAUACACUCAAUUAUUACACUCAAUUGCUGUAUACCUCUUGUUCCCUUCACCCAUCAGAUUUCACACAACUUUCACAACCAUUACAUGCACCAAUUGAUGCUCCAUCAGCCACCUUUAGGAUCCUAUGCCGUGUGAAACACAUGUUGCUGCACCUUUGACUAAUUUCUGAAACAUUUCACCUCCCCUUUUCAUUUCUAUGCAAUGUACACAAUCAUUCAUGCUCCCUAGCUGAAAUACCACUCCAUUUUACCCUCCAUACUUUGCAUCAUUGCUUCAUUUUCAUCCUUGGACCAUUGCACACCACAAAUUGACCCUUCUUGCUGUGCAUUUCCCCAUUGCCUAACCUGAUUCUCUAGGGUAUUUGGGGCAUAUAUAUACUUGUUUACACCCCUUGGCCAAGAGGACCAUCUCCCAUAUUCAUCAUUCAUCACAGAAAAUUCGUCCAUACACACCCUAGGCAGCAAAACACCCCCAAAACACCAUUCUAGUGCCCAGAAAACAUAACAGCCACUCCACCCUCUUCCACCCUUUUUGC
Molecule: non-coding RNA, 1090 nt
Organism: Malus domestica (apple)
Lineage: Eukaryota; Viridiplantae; Streptophyta; Magnoliopsida; Rosales; Rosaceae
Source: RefSeq, a predicted model, not a curated record